AGCAUUUCUGCAAGGCUUGUUACUGUUGAAUUCCUGGCCUCUGAGUCCUGGUGUAAUGCUAGUCAAUCUACACUGCCCUCCCUCCAAGAUCUGUGUCUGCUGCAGACUGCCCAACAACAGGUUAACUCCGGUCUCCCUGAGCUGCUGAGCAUCGAGCAAGGGAGGGCUGCGUGGACGAGACCACCCAGUUUGUCCCUGCCACUCACUCCACACUCCUUCAGCACCUCAGAUUGAACAACUUCACCCCAGAGGAGAGAGGGGUUCACUUUGAUGUUGAUUGCAAAAUACAGAAGAUGUGACGGUGUGCACUCCUCCCAUCCCUAAUCCUCACUGUACAGAUACCUUGUUGGAGCUAAGGGGCUUCAUCACUGUUUCCAGUAAUUCGAAGCCAUUAUUGUGAACUUUUUUACCUUGGCACUAAUCCUGCCCUCCAGUCUACGACCUGCAGUAACUGAGGGACUCCAGAGUUGGCCUGAUACAAAAGGCUACCUUCACCAUCAUGGGCUGUGUGAUGUGUUCGCCUCUGCUUGAAAGAUGGAGAUUCUCCUCAAAGCAGCAAAGGGCCAAUACUUGCUUGGAGUUGGCCCUGUUCCCCAGCUCCUGUCUAUCCCAGUACCAACGAGUCUCAGGUCUACACUAUGUGUCCUCUUUCUCUGAUGCAGAGGAUUGCUGUGAAGACAGUCCUAUGUCCGAAGACUCAGAUUCUGAGAUGACUUGACUGCAGGGAAUGAAAGUCAAAGGAUUCAUGAGGACUGCCGAAUAACAGAGUUGAAUUAUCAGACUGAUAAUAAAUUACCGUGUGGUUUCACAAUACAGAGAUGCUUUUUAUCCCCUUUUGUUUAACACUAGCUUUUUUUUUCUUUAAAAAGAAAAGUAGAUACAGAGAAUUAAAAAAGAAAGACCCUCUUGUGUUUGUAAUUUUCACCAAGAUAAAUGAUUUAUUUCAGGUCCAUUGGGAUAAGAUCGAAAUGUCACACCAAAACAACACAAGUGAAUGAUCUAAGGGUCCUAAAGUAAGAAUGGCCAAUUAACUCACUAAACUAGCAAUGGCCACACUGCAGGCCAAUUCUCUCCAGGUUGGGAUUGGCCACUCCCCAUCCAUUCCAGUCUCCAUCAUAUCCCUUAGAAUCAUGGAAGGGUUGGAGGACAGAAGGUCACAUGGCCCAAUACUGGCUCUCUUUGUAAGAGCUUAACUCCAACUCAUUACAUUGACUGUUCCCACAUUUUGAAUUUUACUUUCAGGUGGUUGUCCAAUUCCCCUUCAAAAGCCAAGAUUGAACCUCGAUCAUCCUUUUGGUCAGUGUGUUCUAGAUCAUAACCAUUCACUGCUUUGGAAUGCUCUAUCUCUCGCAUUUGAAAUCAGUGGUUCUCAAGUCCCCCAUUAAUAGGAACAGUUUGUCUCUAACUCUCCAACGUCUCACUUUCCAUUUGGGAACUCUUCAGCACUCAAUGUUGAUUCAAUAACAUUAGAAUUUGAUCACCUUCUUCCAUGUCCCUUACCCACCCCCAGGACCCUGACCCUGUCAUUAACAUCUGCACAGCCAACCCAUUUUCACCCACUAUGGUCCCCAUUAUCAGUUUUUCUCCUUCUCUGUCUUACUACCAUCCAUCCCAUUGUCUAAAUGUCUUUUUACCCCUCUGGGCUCCAUGUCCACCUAUUGCUCACUCCUACCUUCAAGAUUUGGAGGUGCCAGUGUUGGACUGGGGUAUACAAAGUUAAAAAAAUCACACAACA
Non-coding RNA from Chiloscyllium plagiosum (whitespotted bambooshark), 1735 nucleotides. The record is from RefSeq and is a predicted model, not a curated record. Lineage: Eukaryota; Metazoa; Chordata; Chondrichthyes; Orectolobiformes; Hemiscylliidae.